AUGGUCAUGGCAUGGGGCCGUGCCCUGCACCUGUUGCUUCAACGUUGCUGUGGCAACACCCUACUGUGGACCCUCCAACACCCCACUGGGGCCAGGCUGGCCCCCAGACCUUGCCCAGCAAGGGUGGCCCUAUGCAUGCCACAUAACGAUGGGGACCCUUCAGGGACCCCAAGCCAGCCCCAGCCCAUGGGGUGUCCCUGUGGAAAUGUCCUGUGUCCCCUGGUGCUGAGGGGCAACCCCCAGCACUGCCCCAUGUCCCACAACCCCUGUCGCCCAACAGCCCUAAGGAGGGACGAUGCCUGCCGGUGCCCAGGAGCCCCGUGCAAGCACACGAUGUCUGCCCGCACCAGGGCACGUCCCACAGCACCUGUGCCAGCCAGGUGUGUCCCAGAGCUGGGUACUGCCUGUGCUGCAGAGCUGAGUCUGCAGCCCUGUGCCCUGGUCACCCCCAACUCCCACAGAGCCACAUGCUCUGGCCAGCAGCACCCCGAUAACCACGAAAACAGACCCCCCCCCCCCCCAGGACGGCUGGGUCGGGAGGCAACACCUCUCCUGGGAUCUCCCUGGAAGUGGGGCUGGCCCCAGCCCAAGGACACAGCUCUUGCGGGACUGCGGCGCCAUCCCUUCCCAUCACUGCAGAGCUGCUGGAACAGCACCCCUACCUGCCGUAGCCCGGCACUGCCAGCAGCGGUGUCACCCGGGUCCAUCGGGCCAGCACUCGGGGGCACCCCCACCCCGAGGAACAGCCCAGGCAGCACAGCCUGCGCACAUGUGCACACACACACUCGCGUGUACACGCACACGCACAGGCAGGCGCCCGAUGGGAGCUGCCCGUUCCUGGUAUACAGUGGGAUGAAGGCGCUGACAGCAGCCUGGCCAGGCUCGCAGGAUGGUUUGGGUGGGAAGGGACCUUUAAAGGUCCCCUGGCCCAGCCCCCGCAGUGAGCAGGGAUACCUGUACCAAACCAGGUUGCUCAGAGCCCCGUCCAGCCUGGCGCUGAUGUUUCCAGGGAUGGAACACCCAAGCACCCCCUGCCUGUCCAGGCAGCCCAUACCAGUACCUCACUGCCCUAAGCAAAGAGACUCCUCUACAGAGACUGUGCAGCCAUGGUGCCAGUCCCUGGCUGUGGAGUUUGUUCCAAGGCAUGGAAUGGGGCUGAAACAGUUCCUCACCCCCAAACUGGUGGCCUGGGCAGUGCCUUCCCGACACAGCCAGGUACCGCAGGCAGUCCCCCCCAUCUCAGCACAGCCGGGCACCCCUAGGCCAGUGCCUUACAGGAAAGCUCCUACUUUAUCAAGGGAAUUGAGCACCACAAAUUGGUCUCCUAAGUCGAUUCUGCCUGCUGCCAGGCCUCUUCCCACCACCUAA
This 1368-nucleotide long non-coding RNA is filed under the name Corvus moneduloides (New Caledonian crow). RNAcentral's name for it is "lncRNA (ENSCMUG00000018120.1)". The record is from RNAcentral. Lineage: Eukaryota; Metazoa; Chordata; Aves; Passeriformes; Corvidae.